RNAcentral lists this ribosomal RNA (398 nucleotides) under uncultured bacterium. RNAcentral describes it as "partial 16S ribosomal RNA". It matches the Rfam family "Bacterial small subunit ribosomal RNA", at positions 360 to 776 of the family's 1533-position model. The record is from RNAcentral.
AAUAUUGCACAAUGGAGGAAACUCUGAUGCAUCGACGCCGCGUGAGUGAAGAAGGUCUUCGGAUCGUAAAACUCUGUCCUUGGUGAAGAUAAUGACGGUAGCAAAGGAGGAAGCCCCGGCUAACUACGUGCCAUCUGCCGCGGUAAUACGUAGGGGGCUAGAGUUGUCCGGAUUUACUGGGCGUAAAGGGUGAGUAGGCGGUUAUGUAUGUCAGAUGUAAAAGGCGUGGGCUUAACUUACGUUAGCAUUUGAAACUGCAUAACUUGAGUGCGGGAGAGGUAAGUGGAAUUCCUAGUGUAGCGGUGAAAUGCGUAGAUAUUAGGAGGAACACCAGUGGUGAAGGCGACUUACUGGACCGUAACUGACGCUGAGUCACGAAAGCGUGGGUAGCAAACAGG